AUGAAUAACAAAGGUUUUCCUAGGCUACGUAUGCGGGACCAGUUCCUUGUUCUUCCGCCUAGGGGAAAGUCCCCGGACCUCGGGCAGAGAGUGCCGCGUGCAGGGGCACGUAGACAUCCCUCCGCUUCCCACUGUAAAGUCCGCCAAGAAGCGAAUCCCGCUGAGCCGCUUGGGGGGUGGGUGGGGGGAGUGUCUACCGUGAGCUCCACUCGUUACGCAGGCAGUGCGUCUUCGCGCACCAACCACAUGGGGCUCAUUCUCA
RNAcentral lists this RNase MRP RNA (262 nucleotides) under Prolemur simus (greater bamboo lemur). Its description in RNAcentral is "RNase MRP (ENSPSMG00000017793.1)". It matches the Rfam family "RNase MRP". From Rfam's summary of the family: RNase MRP is an enzymatically active ribonucleoprotein with two distinct roles in eukaryotes. In mitochondria it plays a direct role in the initiation of mitochondrial DNA replication. Lineage: Eukaryota; Metazoa; Chordata; Mammalia; Primates; Lemuridae. The record is from Rfam by way of RNAcentral.